CAGGCCUAACACAUGCAAGUCGAGCGGACCAUUCCUUCGGGGAUGGUUAGCGGCGGACGGGUGAGUAACACGUAGGCAACCUGCCUGUAAGAUCGGGAUAACUACCGGAAACGGUAGCUAAGACCGGAUAGCUGGUUUCUCCGCAUGGGGGAAUUAUGAAACACGGGGCAACCUGUGGCUUACGGAUGGGCCUGCGGCGCAUUAGCUAGUUGGUGGGGUAAUGGCCCACCAAGGCGACGAUGCGUAGCCGACCUGAGAGGGUGAUCGGCCACACUGGGACUGAGACACGGCCCAGACUCCUACGGGAGGCAGCAGUAGGGAAUCUUCCGCAAUGGGCGCAAGCCUGACGGAGCAACGCCGCGUGAGUGAUGAAGGUUUUCGGAUCGUAAAGCUCUGUUGCCAAGGAAGAACGCCUCGGAGAGUAACUGCUCUGAGGGUGACGGUACUUGAGAAGAAAGCCCCGGCUAACUACGUGCCAGCAGCCGCGGUAAUACGUAGGGGGCAAGCGUUGUCCGGAAUUAUUGGGCGUAAAGCGCGCGCAGGCGGUCUUUUAAGUUUGGUGUUUAAGCCCGGGGCUCAACCCCGGUUCGCACUGAAAACUGGGAGACUUGAGUGCAGGAGAGGAAAGCGGAAUUCCACGUGUAGCGGUGAAAUGCGUAGAGAUGUGGAGGAACACCAGUGGCGAAGGCGGCUUUCUGGACUGUAACUGACGCUGAGGCGCGAAAGCGUGGGGAGCAAACAGGAUUAGAU
This 750-nucleotide ribosomal RNA is filed under the name uncultured bacterium. RNAcentral's name for it is "bacterial SSU rRNA". It matches the Rfam family "Bacterial small subunit ribosomal RNA", at positions 43 to 783 of the family's 1533-position model. The record is from RNAcentral.